GCGGAGGUAGCCAAGCCUGGUCAAAGGCGCGGGAAUGAGGAUCCCGUCCCUGAGGGGUUCGUGGGUUCGAAUCCCACCCUCCGCA
This is a transfer RNA of 85 nucleotides. It matches the Rfam family "tRNA". From Rfam's summary of the family: Transfer RNA (tRNA) molecules are approximately 80 nucleotides in length. Their secondary structure includes four short double-helical elements and three loops (D, anti-codon, and T loops).